AGAGUUUGAUCCUGGCUCAGGACGAACGCUGGCGGCACGCUUAACACAUGCAAGUCGAACGAGAGAAGAGGAGCUUGCUUUUCUGAUCUAGUGGCGGACGGGUGAGUAACACGUGAGCAAUCUGCCUUUCAGAGGGGGAUACCGAUUGGAAACGAUCGUUAAUACCGCAUAACAUAACUGAACCGCAUGAUUUGAUUAUCAAAGAUUUAUCGCUGAAAGAUGAGCUCGCGUCUGAUUAGCUAGUUGGUAAGGUAACGGCUUACCAAGGCGACGAUCAGUAGCCGGACUGAGAGGUUGAUCGGCCACAUUGGGACUGAGACACGGCCCAGACUCCUACGGGAGGCAGCAGUGGGGAAUAUUGCACAAUGGAGGAAACUCUGAUGCAGCGAUGCCGCGUGAGGGAAGAAGGUUUUAGGAUUGUAAACCUCUGUCUUCAGGGACGAAAAAAGACGGUACCUGAGGAGGAAGCUCCGGCUAACUACGUGCCUGCAGCCGCGGUAAUACGUAGGGAGCGAGCGUUGUCCGGAAUUACUGGGUGUAAAGGGAGCGUAGGCGGGAUCGCAAGUCAGAUGUGAAAACUAUGGGCUUAACCCAUAAACUGCAUUUGAAACUGUGGUUCUUGAGUGAAGUAGAGGUAAGCGGAAUUCCUAGUGUAGCGGUGAAAUGCGUAGAUAUUAGGAGGAACAUCAGUGGCGAAGGCGGCUUACUGGGCUUUAACUGACGCUGAGGCUCGAAAGCGUGGGGAGCAAACAGGAUUAGAUACCCUGGUAGUCCACGCCGUAAACGAUGAUUACUAGGUGUGGGGGACUGACCCCUUCCGUGCCGCAGCAAACGCAAUAAGUAAUCCACCUGGGGAGUACGACCGCAAGGUUGAAACUCAAAGGAAUUGACGGGGGCCCGCACAAGCAGUGGAGUAUGUGGAUUAAUUCGAAGCAACGCGAAGAACCUUACCAGGUCUUGACAUCGUAUGCAUAGCUCAGAGAUGAGUGAAAUCUCUUCGGAGACAUAUAGACAGGUGGUGCAUGGUUGUCGUCAGCUCGUGUCGUGAGAUGUUGGGUUAAGUCCCGCAACGAGCGCAACCCUUACUGUUAGUUGCUACGCAAGAGCACUCUAGCAGGACUGCCGUUGACAAAACGGAGGAAGGUGGGGAUGACGUCAAAUCAUCAUGCCCCUUAUGACCUGGGCCUCACACGUACUACAAUGGCUGUCAACAGAGGGAAGCAAAGCCGCGAGGUGGAGCGAACCCCUAAAAGCAGUCUUAGUUCGGAUUGUAGGCUGCAACCCGCCUACAUGAAGUCGGAAUUGCUAGUAAUCGCAGAUCAGCAUGCUGCGGUGAAUACGUUCCCGGGCCUUGUACACACCGCCCGUCACGCCAUGGGAGUCGGUAACACCCGAAGCCUGUAGUCUAACCGCAAGGAGGACGCAGUCGAAGGUGGGAUUGAUGACUGGGGUGAAGUCGUAACAAGGUA
This 1469-nucleotide ribosomal RNA is filed under the name metagenome. Its description in RNAcentral is "bacterial SSU rRNA". It matches the Rfam family "Bacterial small subunit ribosomal RNA". The record is from RNAcentral.